CGCGUAGGCGGCCUUCUAAGUCUUGUGUGAAAUCCCUCGGCUCAACUGAGGAACUGCACGGGAUACUGGAUGGCUUGAGUUCGGGAGAGGGAAGCGGAAUUCCGGGUGUAGCGGUGAAAUGCGUAGAUAUCCGGAGGAACACCGGUGGCGAAGGCGGCUUCCUGGACCGAUUACUGACGCUGAGGCGCGAAAGCUAGGGAGCAAACG
RNAcentral lists this ribosomal RNA (207 nucleotides) under uncultured bacterium. RNAcentral describes it as "partial 16S ribosomal RNA". It matches the Rfam family "Bacterial small subunit ribosomal RNA", at positions 568 to 774 of the family's 1533-position model. The record is from RNAcentral.